CUCUCUUUGAUUUUAUUUUUUCUUCUACUUAAAUUGGAGGCCCAGCACUGACCACUGCUCGGUCAGUAACGGGCUUUCAAUUUGGCUUUUCUUUUUAUAAAUUGAAAAAAUUGUGAUUGAAAAAAUCCUCCUCCCCAAAGAACAUCUGUGUUGUGCUUUUUACUUUUUGUUCCAGUUUGAAAGAGAGACGAGGGCUGACUGAAAUGUCAAAAUCUUUGGACACAAUUAGCAGUCUGAAGCGAGCCUUGCCGUUGACCACGAUCAGCAAAUCGAGCUUUUUGAUCAAUGCGUUGUCUGCGAAUCCAAGAAUUGAUUGCCGCUCAGAGAUGGACUUGUGAGACUAAGAAGGUAAGUCAUGAGGCCUUGGCUGCGGCUUGGCGAUCAAUCGCCGGUGCUGUGGUCCCCGAGCGAGAUUCCCAGAGAGCGGAGGCUUUGUGCCAAAGAACGCCGGGGUUCGCGCCCCCAACGAGCCUCCGGAGGCGGACGUGGUGGGCGAAACUGAGGCGGUGGCGCCUCACCUUCUAACUACACCCUCCACAUGACUGCCAUCACUUUUUAGACGGUCACGCCGGCGUUCCACACCAAGGCUCACCAAUCGUCUUUGGUCUUAUUUUUUGAAUCGUUGAGGCCUUUCAAACUUAUUUAACGGUUAAUUCUCGCGUUUUUAAGACUCCAAAAAGUUUAGAAGUUUGAAUCCUUCCCAUAACUUCCCAUUCGAUGGCAAAGCUGUUCUCCGUGAGGCUUCGCUUCUGGGCGCCAAAGAGGGCCCCGUCUUCAUCCAGAUGAAUUUGCCGUUUGGCUGUCAAGUCGACCUGGCAGUCAGGAAUAAAAUUCAGUAUGACUUGCAUGGCUCUAAAUUGAGCCUGGCCAAACUUCUCUUUGAGCAGCUGCAAAACGUCGAGGGCAAGCUCGUGAGGGAAAUGCCACAACCUGAGACAACUGGCGAAGGGCAUGGAGCAGAUCGUAGUCUCCAGUAUGACAGCCUUAGCCAGGCAGAUGCCACCCAGAUCAAGGCCGACCCGAAGAAGGCUAGUCUGGGUAGCUUGGUCAUUUUCUGCCUUGCCAACAAACUGGAUUACUUUGGUUGCGUCGAGAAAGACGACUUCGCCAUUCUUGUGGAUAGGGCGCAGCGGAAGGAGCACAGUAAGCCGUGAGCAAGCCGACGCAGCUCAGGAGCAGGGCCACCCCAAGAAGCGCAAGGGCUUCUUCCAGUCUUUUGUCUCAUGGAUGUUCGACGCCUCUGAAUAAGUUGACUUAUUGUUUACUUUUGAUGCACAAUUAAUAGUUAAGCUGAAUGGUUAAUUAAGCAUAAUGGCAUUUUUACUGUUUUUGUAGCCGAGUUAUCUGAUCUUCCUAAGUCUUACUUGCUUCUAUUUUCAACACACCUUGAAUGGUUAAUUUAGUUGUUCACACUAUAAGAAUCAAUUUUGCUUUUAGACUUUAAAUAUAAAAAGGAAAAAAACACUUAUUUUUAUCAUGAGAAAUGCCAAUUCAUUCCUGCAAUCUUCCAAAUUGAGAUUUAAGCAAUUUCUGCUUUUCAGUAAAAUUAAAAAAAAAAUAGUAAUUAAUUAUGCAAAACAUAAAGCGAUUUAAAAGUGAAAAAAGGUAAAGUAAAAAGUUUAAACAAAUACAGUUUUGUAAUUACUUAAAGUAGUAAAUGUUAUCAUAGCAUAGAAAUUCCUGAGGAAAAACUGCUCAGGAGGAAAAAGUUAAUUAAAAUGUGCAUGUCGAGUUUCAUUUUUUUCUGAUCAGCUUACUCUAGCAAAUCGAAUUGUAAUCAUGUCUGCGGCCAAAGUUGUUUUCUCGGGCGUUCACCGUGCAGGUCUUGCCAUGGUUCAGGUGGCGGAAGGUGUUGGCGAAACCCUCGCUCCUCCCUGGGUUUGGCAAAACCAAUCUCCCAGCCAGGAUGAUGGGCUUUUUGGUGUCCAGCUUCUUCGAAUGUACUUGAAUCAACUCGAAUUUCUUUUCUCCAACUUAGCACCGAAGAUGAAGAAAGUGAUCUGGCGACUUGACCAAAUUCGGUUUCACUUUUAAGUUCAAUAAAAAUACCUCAAAAUUUCUCUUUAUAUAUGUCCAGAAACUCUAUGAAAAUUAGAAAUCACAGCGUUAAUUUUUAAUUUAGUAAGAAUUUAAAUCAAAUUUUUAUGUAUUCAGUGUCAUUGUGAUAUUUGUGAUUGAUAUGAUCAGACUUUUUCGACACAACCCUCUCGUCCUUUUCCUCUGCGGCCUGGUAUUGCAUCAAAGUUAAGAUGAAAAUCCAGCCAAUACUUUGUUUCUUCGGAUGGAUUGGAUUAUUCUAGGAUCACAGAAGCGGAUAAUUUAAAGAAAUGUAAUAUUUCCAUUUUCUCAUUUUAGAAAAAUUAAACAAGGUUUUUUUACAUAUGUUAAAGGGAAAUUUCAUCACAGUUCUGAUAACUAAAUUUAGCUACUUGCCGAUGAUUUUGUUAAUCGUUUUAAAUUCUAAAUAUUGCUUAACUUUGUUUUUCUGAUCUUCUCUAAAAAAAUCUUGUGCCACGGCCACACCUCCUUGUGCUUGAGUUCAACCCCAAGGCCCAAGGUGAACCUGGUGGAGGGCAAGAACGGCAGUGGCAAGUCGGCCAUCAUGUCCUCCGCCCUUAUGGUGGUGUUGGGGUUGGGCACCAAGGCGUCCGACAGCCCCUGGCCGCUCGUUGGCCGCAUUCGCGCGGCUUGGCUGCGCAGAACAGGUGGGCAUCAAAAUCACUCUAAAAAACAGAGGCCCAAACGCUAACAAGGGUCGAGAAGUACGGACACGAAAUCGUCCUGAAUAGAACCAUUGCAGUGAAGGGAUCCAGGUCGGUUGACUGUUGGAUCGGCGACAGGUGGUGUGGGCACUUGCGGGCGGGCUGAGCUCAACGAAAUCUUGCAGGCGCUGAACAUCAGCCUCCCAAUCUCUUUUGCCCUGCUCACUCAGGAGAACUAUAUGAAGACAUUCCUGAACAACAACAAGCCUAUAGCCACAUGACAUGUACAACCUGAUCGAGCAAGGCACUGGGAUUACAGCCAUCAAGACUCGCCUUGCUCUUUUGAGAGAUAACCUGGCUUCUUUGGGAGAAAAACGAGACCAAAUGAUCGGUUUCCUUCGACAGCUUGAGGAGCAGCUGAAAGAUAUUGGAAAACGAAGCAAAAGCAGCUGCUGAAGGCCCAAUAAUACAGGCCCUCCACCCGAAUGGACCAGUUGCAGCUUGAGUUGGCUUGGGCCUCGGGGGUUGAGGAAGAGGAGAAGGAGCGCUUCUUGCUGGCCAAAUUGGAGGCGCAAGACGAAGACUCAAAGACGCACCAGACCAAGAUGGAAAAAGUGGCCAAAAAGAUGGAUUGCUACAAGAGAGAGGAGAUCAAGUUUGCUUUAAUAUAUUCCUGUGCAGCUGUUUUGUUUUUAUUAAAUUUAGAUUUCUUUUACAAAAAUGUGGACUGCGCUCUAAUGCACGAAUGUUGUACACCUCAAAGAAAGACGAGAAGGACCAAAUGCAGCAGAGCAGCACGUUGUUGAGAUUCAGUCCAAGCCGGAUGAGAUGCGUCGCUCCAAGAACUCGCUGGAAAAACAGCUGCAGUCUCUGAAUCAAGAAAAGAAAGUUCUGCAGUCAGAAAUCAGCAAAAUUGCCAAUCUUUCUGCUGACGAGGAGUUGAGGAAGAGGGCCAAGGAGCAGGAGGAGAUGGAAAGGAAUAAAGUCCAGCUGUCCGAGGUUAAAAAUGAGUUGCGACCUCUCUUGGUCAAAGUGUGGAUGAGAGGGCAGACAGCGCUUUCGAGAUCUUGCAACUUGCUGCAACCAAUAAGGAGCACCACCAAUCUGCUUUGAAUGAGCAAAAAGACAAGCUGAGCAGAACUUUGACAGAGUGAGGAGAGACAGUGUCUCGAUCAUUCCUCCCGCCUACGGCAACAGAAUGCCUGAUUUUGCUUAGGGAAGUGGACAAGGCUGUGGAAAGAGGCCUUUUCAAGCACAAAAGCCUAUCGGAAUGCAUCUGAAACUGUAAGACUGUUCCUGGAAUUUGGCUGUGGAGAACCUGCUGAGAGCCAAGAUGCAGGUGUUUUUCUGUGACAAGUAUAACGACCAGAAGGAGAUGAACAAGAUGGCACGUCGAGUCUUGGGAUUAAACUCUGUCCCCUGCGUGGUUAGCAAAUUUUUCGACAAGCGUUUUGACAUCUCAAGAAAUAGAGCCGAGAUUCCCGAGGGAAUGGUGUGUUGGACAUUCUGGACAUUUCCGAUGCUCGUCUGUUCAAUUACCAGCUGGAUCAAAAACGAGUUGAAAACAUUAUGCUGUAUGAAAAAUACCCAAGCAUGCUAUCAAUGUGAUGCAAAGAGGUCAAACGAGAGAGUUCCUAGAAAGUGCAUUAUGGUUGUGACCAAAGAUGCUGAACUAGUGUACCCUUAUCCCAACUUCAAGGUCUCUGGCAAGGAAACUGAUGUGCUGUACCUCUUGAAGAAUCGUGAGGCCAAUUUGGCUCUGUACGAACAGCGCCUGGCCCAUGCCAUAACCAAGAGAAAGGGGUUGUGGAGAGAGCUUACACAGGCAGUGUGAGGAGGAUCGAGUACAGGAGUGUGAGGGAAAGACUGUCUGCCCUUGAGUCUCGUCGUAAGAACUUGGAUUCGACUGCCGAACGUCUCGAGUCUGCCAUUCGGCAGGUGGAGAAUUUGCCUCCCAUCAACACCACUGACAGACAACAUGCAAACUCUGAGAGAUGAAAUGAAUAUUAAAUGCAAGAGCAAAUUGAGAAGGUGCAGCAGGAGAAGGAGCACCUGGCUGAGAGAAAUGCCGAGACGGACAAAGAGAAGAACGAGAUUGUGAGGUAGAUGAUUCACCUGCGGCUGCUGAAUGCAAGGCCUUGCAUGAGAAUUGAAGUACUGUGAGUGUAACGUAACAACAGAAAACAAGAGUUGUAGGAGUUGAUGGAGGCCGAGGAGAGCAAGUCCCAAGCCAGGAACCAGCAGCUCUCCAAAAUGGCCCAGAGGAAAGCCGAGAUGGAGGCCGAAUUGGCCAACCAGAGGAAGAAGACCCUGACAGCCAAACUUGAUAGGCACAAGAGUU
Long non-coding RNA from Neocloeon triangulifer, 5043 nucleotides. RefSeq lists it as uncharacterized. The transcript has 15 exons. The record is from RefSeq and is a predicted model, not a curated record. Lineage: Eukaryota; Metazoa; Arthropoda; Insecta; Ephemeroptera; Baetidae.